CUAUAGUAAAGUUUGAGAGUAUUCUGACCAUGUUUUGGAAUCUGCAUAAUCCAACAGUUAAAACAUCAUCACAGUACAGAUCAAGAAUAUUUUUGAGUUCAGCAGACAAGUUAGAAGAGGCAGAAAAAAGUUUAGCAGAGCAGAGAAACAAAUCCUCAAAAUCAGUUUUGACAGAGGUUGAAAUCCUGAAUAAAUUCUACGUAGCUGAGAAAAAACAUCAAAAAAAUGCAUUGAGACAACAUUCUUCUAUUUUGUUAACUUUGAAAAACUCCAAUGUAAAGUUUGAUGAGCUUUUGAAUAUGAAUCUGGAAGAAAUGAACAAAGAAGAUUUGGCACAAUUUUAUCUUGUGACAAAACUGAACGGAUUUCUCGCGCAUUUUCCCGCCAAUGGAGCUGUACGCAUGUUCAACCAAUCCUAUAAACAGCUGGGCAUAAAUAACAAAAUGGCGGAAUAUAUUAGAAACUGUUUGAUAAAAAAGUCCUAAUAAUUUUUUUGUUAUUUUCUUCAAACAUUGAAAAUUUCUGAUUUAACUUUGGCAAUACCCUUAUUUUCUUGGAAUAAUGGUGGAUUAUAUAUUUAUUUGAGUUUUGGGUUAAUUUCUAUUAAAAACUGUCUGAUUAAAAAGUUAUUUUCUUCAAACAUUAAAAAUUACGAAUUUAACUUUGGCAAUACCCUUAUUUACUUGGAAUAAGGUGGAUUAUAUAUUUACAUAUACAUUUCAAGAUUCUCAUUUGUUUAAUAUGAUCUAAAAAGAGUCUUUAUAUGGCACAACUUUCUAAAUUAUUUAGUUUCAUCCCUCAUAUGCUUUAACUCUGCUAUACAAAAGUAGUUACUAAGUCCACAGUUGCAAUGCCUUUAACAUUAUGUUUUGUUUUAAAUUCACAGCUUUUACAUUUUUGGUUAAAAUUAUUUCGCGAAUAAAGAAAAUUAUUUGCAAACAUUUUUUCAAAAUUAUCUUUAUGAAAUUACAUUUUUCAACUGAGCCUAGACCAGAGAAGUGUGAUAGAUAAUUCCAGAUAAUUUAACUUAUAAAUUAAAUAUAUAUUGUGAAAAGAAAAUAUUUUUUUUUAUUAUAAUUUAUGUAGAUAAAAUAUGUAGAAUAUUAUACAUAUGACCAAUAAAUCCAUGGGGGAGGCUCUUUUAAUAUUACAUCUGCUUGCAUUUCCCUUCCUCAGGU
This is a long non-coding RNA of Eurytemora carolleeae, 1178 nucleotides long. RefSeq lists it as uncharacterized. The record is from RefSeq and is a predicted model, not a curated record. The transcript is spliced from 3 exons. NCBI's taxonomy places the organism in Eukaryota, Metazoa, Arthropoda, Copepoda, Calanoida, Temoridae.